RNAcentral lists this ribosomal RNA (467 nucleotides) under uncultured bacterium. RNAcentral describes it as "partial 16S ribosomal RNA". It matches the Rfam family "Bacterial small subunit ribosomal RNA", at positions 28 to 507 of the family's 1533-position model. The record is from RNAcentral.
GACGAACGCUGGCGGCGUGCUUAACACAUGCAAGUCGAACGGAAAGGCCCUGCUUUUGUUGGGUUCUCGAGUGGCGAACGGGUGAGUAACACGUGAGUAACCUGCCCUUGACUUUGGGAUAACUUCAGGAAACUGGGGCUAAUACCGGAUAGGAGCUCCUGCUGCAUGGUGGGGGUUAGAAAGUUUCGGCGGUUGGGGAUGGACUCGCGGCUUAUCAGCUUGUUGGUGGGGUAGUUGCUUAACAAGGCUUUGACGGGUAGCCGGCCUGAGAGGGUGACCGGCCACAUGGGGACGGAGAUACGGCCCAGACUCCUACGGGAGGCAAGAGUGGGGAAUAGUGCACAAUGGGCGGAAGCCUGAUGCAGCAACUCCGCGUGGGGGAUGACGGCCUCGGGGGGUAAACCGCUUUCGCCUGUGACGAAGCGUGAGUGACGGUAAUGGGUAAAGAAGCACCGGCUAACUACGUG